GGCUCUGGUCUUUACUCUGUUUCUAUUUCAGCUUGACUCUCCCAGUCGACGGUCAUGGCUCGCUACAGGAGUUACUUACGAGGGCUCGCCAUCUGUGUCACUGUGCUGCUACUGGUGUCUGGUGUGGUGAUGAUUGGCGUCGGAUUUUCCUCCAUCGAGGGAAACACACCAGUUGCCGAGUUGUUCGACCAGUUGUCCAGCAGCGAC
Long non-coding RNA from Anoplopoma fimbria (sablefish), 207 nucleotides. RefSeq lists it as uncharacterized. NCBI's taxonomy places the organism in Eukaryota, Metazoa, Chordata, Actinopteri, Perciformes, Anoplopomatidae. The transcript has 3 exons. The record is from RefSeq and is a predicted model, not a curated record.